Molecule: ribosomal RNA, 836 nt
Filed under: Glutamicibacter protophormiae
Lineage: Bacteria; Bacillati; Actinomycetota; Actinomycetes; Micrococcales; Micrococcaceae
Description: bacterial SSU rRNA
Rfam family: Bacterial small subunit ribosomal RNA
Source: RNAcentral
ACCUGGCUCAGGAUGAACGCUGGCGGCGUGCUUAACACAUGCAAGUCGAACGAUGAAGCCGAAGCUUGCUUUGGUGGAUUAGUGGCGAACGGGUGAGUAACACGUGAGUAACCUGCCCCUGACUCUGGGAUAAGCCUGGGAAACUGGGUCUAAUACCGGAUAUGACCAUGGAACGCAUGUUCUGUGGUGGAAAGAUUUAUCGGUUGGGGAUGGACUCGCGGCCUAUCAGCUUGUUGGUGAGGUAAUGGCUCACCAAGGCGACGACGGGUAGCCGGCCUGAGAGGGUGACCGGCCACACUGGGACUGAGACACGGCCCAGACUCCUACGGGAGGCAGCAGUGGGGAAUAUUGCACAAUGGGCGAAAGCCUGAUGCAGCGACGCCGCGUGAGGGAUGACGGCCUUCGGGUUGUAAACCUCUUUCAGUAGGGAAGAAGCGAGAGUGACGGUACCUGCAGAAGAAGCGCCGGCUAACUACGUGCCAGCAGCCGCGGUAAUACGUAGGGCGCAAGCGUUAUCCGGAUUUAUUGGGCGUAAAGAGCUCGUAGGCGGUUUGUCGCGUCUGCCGUGAAAGUCCGAGGCUCAACCUCGGAUCUGCGGUGGGUACGGGCAGACUAGAGUGAUGUAGGGGAGACUGGAAUUCCUGGUGUAGCGGUGAAAUGCGCAGAUAUCAGGAGGAACACCGAUGGCGAAGGCAGGUCUCUGGGCAUUUACUGACGCUGAGGAGCGAAAGCAUGGGGAGCGAACAGGAUUAGAUACCCUGGUAGUCCAUGCCGUAAACGUUGGGCACUAGGUGUGGGGGACAUUCCACGUUUCCGCGCCGUAGCUAACGCAUAAG